UAAUUUUUCGUCUUGUUGCACUUUCUUUUUUAUCAAAUAUUACAAGAUUACCUAUCGGCAGCUCAUGACGGGAUAAACUGUUGUCAAUAGACCGAAAGCCAAGCAUAAAUACAGCAACAUAAAUACAGCUUCUACCAUCUGGCCAGAAUGUUAAAGGCACAUACCCUUGCAAUUCGACUGCGAGCCAAUCGCAAUUUCGGAACAUUUUUCGUCUUUUCGUUGAACUAAAGAUCCACAAAAAUGGCUCGGUCUGUUAUCUUUGUAACAAUCUUUCUAGGGCUUGUAAUUGCAGAAAUCCAAGGUCUCCCGUUUUCGAGGGCCUGGCAGCCACUGGACUACUGCAAUUGCAUUAGUUUCGGGUCAACAGUGUGUGGUCGAAAUGGGGUUACGUAUUCCAGCAAGUGCUAUGCUGACUGUCUUGGUGGAGGUGUUGCCUAUAGUGGAGCUUGCCGCAAGAACACCAAGGCCAUCUUGUGCACUUUGGAAUACGCACCCGUGUGCGGUGCCGAUGGCGUCACGUAUAGCAACGACUGCCAUGCACGGACUGUCGGGGUUGCCGUAUUAUACCGUGGAGAAUGUCGACGCCAAAUGGUAUCCAAGUAAAACACUGGAUCAUGCAAUUUGCGAACACUUAAUCGACAACAAGUUGCGACUCGUACAGACUUCUAAUUUUGUCAUUGUUUCUAUGAAUUGUUUCUAUUUCAUUGUUUCCAUUUUUGUCAUUGUUCCUAUAAGUAAUUUAUGGUUGCCUAAUUAUGUUGUGAAUUCAGUUUGGCACGGCCAGCAAAUAUUGUAAAUUUAUUUGCAGUUUUAGGAUUAACUGAUGCGACAGUUUCUUUAACUGUACGUAGAAUCCUCGAAAUAUCAUGGACAUAUAAAAUGUAAUACGCAAGCGCGCUUCGGUGUUGAACCAAUUUAAAAGCUGUGGAGAAAGUUUUGGGAGGCCCAGAGCAGAUUCGGUUGUGAACUCGGGGAGAACGUUUCGGAAUA
Paramacrobiotus metropolitanus is the source of this 990-nucleotide RNA transcript. It is a transcript of the gene named ovomucoid-like, with no coding region annotated. Lineage: Eukaryota; Metazoa; Tardigrada; Eutardigrada; Parachela; Macrobiotidae. The record is from RefSeq and is a predicted model, not a curated record. The transcript is spliced from 6 exons.